This is a long non-coding RNA of Chinchilla lanigera (long-tailed chinchilla), 289 nucleotides long. RefSeq lists it as uncharacterized. The transcript has 3 exons. The record is from RefSeq and is a predicted model, not a curated record. Lineage: Eukaryota; Metazoa; Chordata; Mammalia; Rodentia; Chinchillidae.
CAAGCCAGCACCUCUCAUCAGCAUCACCUCGAACUGCUGCACCUCCAGCCAUUACGGUCUGAGGACUAACCUAACGCCACAAGCGCAUGGCCCAGUCAGCUCCCAGCAGCCCCGCUAAGAGCACAAGCGCCUUUGGAGGGAUAUUAAGAUGAAGAAUACAAGCCAGAGAGGGGAAUCACAGUGAGACUUGGACUGGGCAUUCCUUCUCCAAUUCAUUAUGCCAAGCUGAAUGGUCGCAUUGAUGCCUAUGCACAUCCAUUUGACCACCUGAUAGAAGAAUGCGAUUCUG